Molecule: non-coding RNA, 105 nt
Organism: Marasmius oreades (fairy-ring Marasmius)
Lineage: Eukaryota; Fungi; Basidiomycota; Agaricomycetes; Agaricales; Marasmiaceae
Source: the annotation of a RefSeq genome assembly
GGCUGACUAGUUCAGUUGGUUAGAGCGUCGUGUUAAUGUGUGUCUUCUUCUCGAUGUAGUUGAAUGUCAUGCGCGAAGGUGUUGGGUUUGAUUCCCGUGUGGCCA